This 449-nucleotide ribosomal RNA is filed under the name uncultured bacterium. Its description in RNAcentral is "bacterial SSU rRNA". It matches the Rfam family "Bacterial small subunit ribosomal RNA", at positions 330 to 793 of the family's 1533-position model. The record is from RNAcentral.
UCCAGACUCCUACGGGAGGCAGCAGUGGGGAAUAUUGCACAAUGGGGGGAACCCUGAUGCAGCGACGCCGCGUGGGUGAAGGAGUGUUUCGGUAUGUAAAGCCCUCUCAGCAGGGAAGAACAAUGACGGUACCUGACUAAGAAGCACCGGCUAAAUACGUGCCAGCAGCCGCGGUCAUACGUAGGAUCCGAGCAUUAUCCGGAGUGACUGGGUGUAAAGAGUUGCGUAGGUGGCAUAAUAAGUAGCUAGUGAAAUCUGGUGGCUCAACCAUUCAGACUAUUAGCUAAACUGUUAAGCUCGAGACCGUUAGGGGUAACUGGAAUUUCUAGUGUAGGAGUGAAAUCCGUAGAUAUUAGAAAGAACACCAAUAGCGUAGGCAGGUUACUGGGACGGUUCUGACACUAAGGCACGAAAGCGUAGGGAGCAAACGGGAUUAGAUACCCUGGUAG